RNAcentral lists this long non-coding RNA (21440 nucleotides) under Populus trichocarpa (black cottonwood). RNAcentral describes it as "long non-coding RNA (PTRI_LNC000875)". Lineage: Eukaryota; Viridiplantae; Streptophyta; Magnoliopsida; Malpighiales; Salicaceae. The record is from RNAcentral.
UUAUUGCAAUGAAUUUGUCCAUCAAUUAUUAAUUAUGGUAAAUUCCUUGUUCAGAAACUAUCAAUAGUCUAGUUUAGGGACUCCGCAGUUUUUUUCCGACAGACUUGUACAGAAAAAAGACCACAAGCUGGUGAUGAUGACAUACAAGAAAACUCGAGAUCUCAGGUACAAGCCUCUCCUUCGUAACCAGGAAAAAACACACGAGUUUGCUCAGGAUUGCACUUUUCCUUUCAGUGCUUCAAUCACUGCUGAAAAAUCACUAUCGCUAAGCCCGUGACUUUUUGCUACCUUGUAUAGUUCAUUUGCAGCUGCUGCAAUUGGAGUGGGUUGGGAAACAGAUUCUGCUAAUCCCAGGGCAAGUCUCAUGUCCUGAAACCAUUGACUUCAUUUUUGAGAUGACAGCGUUGAUUUAAAUAGUGUCUGCAAUUUAGCAUAUCUACAAACCUUCUGCUGAUGCUUUAAGGGAAAAGCAGUAGGGUAUAGAGAUUUGACCAUUGAUGGACCUUUCAGCGAAUACAUCGGUGCACUAAUGGCACCAAGUGACACUACCUGCAAUUUCACCUAUGUAAGAAGAUUCCUACGAGGCUUCAAUAGAUGCCUUCAAAAACAACUAAAUAAAAUAAAAUAAAAAAGAUAACAUCAUUCUAUAUACUAGAGGCUUUUAGUUUUACCAACAAAGACAAGGAAGAAGAGUGCACGCUUUAAUUUUAAGAGUUUUUCAAGCCAGAAAACCUAACAAAUGAGGUCCAUUUUGGAUGUACUCUUCCAUUAAGUGCUGUUAUUGAACAAGAAGGGUGCAACACCUUGAUUCGUCUUGACGAAGGAAUUUUAGUUAAGCAUCAUUCAGAACCUCUCUCUCUCUCUCUCUCUCUCGCUCUCUCUUACACAAACAAACGCAGACGAAGAAAUAAAACAGACUGAAAAUCAACGAGUUUCUUCAUUUAUUUUCCAGAGAACGGCAGAGCAAUGAUUAUAUCAUUGUGCAUGUUCGAAUGAGAUAGAAAGAACAAGAAUAAUCCAAUAAAAAACAAACAAGAGUAUGAAUUCAGUUAAUCUUCAUGGGGUUUGAUGACAAGUGACACGACAUAAUCUAACAAGAUUUUCUCUGUUCACAAAUACCUCAACCAGUACAUUUGGGUCCAGUCCUACUUUCUCGCUGAGAAGCAACCCUUCAGAAAAGGUUGCCAUCAUACUGCAAACUGUUGAAAACACCAGGUGUCACAAGUUGACCGAGCUAUUGAUUCUGGUUAAAACAAAUCGCCAGAUUGGGAUCUCAGGUUUACUGAGUUGAACACAAAGGCCAAGGUUCAAGUUAAAAGGGGUCUCUAAAUUGAGAAUCCAGAUUAAAUGAGCUGAAGACAACAUUUUAGUUCUCGUUAAAGGGGAUCGCCAUAUGAGAUCUCAGGUUGACCGAGAUGAAGAAAAAUACAUAGGUUUUGGUUAAAAGGGGUCUCUAGAUUAAGAUUCCAGGUUAAUUAAGUUGAAGGCAAGAUUUUAGUUCUGGUUAAAGUGUAUCGCCAAAUGAGGAUCUCAAGUUGACCGAGCUAUUGGUUCUAGUUAUAAGGAAUAAUCAAAUUGGAAUUUCAGGUUGAUCAAGCUGAAGACAAAGACUAAGGUUCUGGCUAAAGGGGUCUCUAGAUUGAGAUUUUAGGUUGAUCGAGCUGAAGAUAAAAACCAAAGUUCUAGUUAAAGGGGUCUCUAGAUUGAGAUUUCAGGUUAAUCGAGCUAAAGGCAAACAUUUUCAUUUUGGUUAAAGGGAAUCGCCACAUUAGGAUUUCAGGUUAUCCGAGCUGUUUUUUAGAUUUCGAUUCUAGUUAAAGGGGAUCGCCAGAUUAGGAUCUCAGGUUGACUGAGCUAUUGGUUCUGGUUAAAAGGAAUCAUUGGAUUGAGAUUUUAGGUUGACCGAGCUGAAGAGAAAAACUAAGGUUCUAGUUUAAGAGGGUCUCUAGAUUGAGAUUUCAGGUUAACUAAGUAAAGGCAACAUUUUGGUUUUGGUUAAAGGAAAUUGCUAGACAAAAUCUCAGGUUGACUAAGUUGAAGAUAAAGACCAAAGUUCUAGUUAAAAAAGAGUCUCUAGUUUGAUAUUUCAAUUAACUGAGUUGAAGGCAAUAUUUUGAUUCUAGUUAGAGGGGAUUGCCAGAUGCAAUCUCAAGUUGACCAAGUUGGAGACAAAGACCAAGGUUUUGGUUAAAGGGGGUCUCUAGAUUGAGAUUUCAAGUUAAUCAAGCUAAAGGUAACUUUUUGGUUCUAGUUAAAGGGAAUCACCAGAUGGGAUCUUAAGUUAAUCGAGUUAUUGGUUUUGGUUAAAGAGAAUCACCAAAUUAGGAUAUCAGGUUAGCCAAGAUGUUUCAUAUUUUGAUUCUAGUUAAAAGGGAUCAUCAUAUGAGAUCUCAGGUUAACCAAGUUAUUGGUUCUGGUUAAAGGAAAUCGCCAGAUUGAGAUUUCAAGUUAGUCAAGUUGUUUUAUAUUUUUGUUCUGGUUAAAGGGGAUCACCAAAUUGAAUUUUCAGGUUGACUGAAUUUUUUGCAAAGAUUUUGAUUUUGUUUAAAGGGAGUCGACAAAUUAGGAUUUCAGGACAACCAAUGUGUACACAGUUUGAUCGUAGUUUUGGUUGAAAGGGAUUGCUGCGAAAACAGAGUUUCAAGUAAACUGAACUAGACGCUUUGAGAAGAUUAGUUUUGAAAAAACAAUUUGUUUGUCUUUACAAACUUACUAUACAAAGUACUUAACAAGUUUUUCCUUCGUAAGUAUUGUAAAGAUAGGACAUUUGUUAUUACCUAAUUUUUUAUCCUGUUUUUGAAAAAAAAAACCAAAAAAUAGCAACAAAAAAAAAACAGCAAAAACACAAAAAAUAUGUACGUCUUUUCCAAAGAAUUUAAAAUUAAAAAAAUAAAAAAUACAUUUAAUUUUUAGUGAUUUAAUUAUAAUCGUGGAAGGGAGAGGAUCAAUUUGAAAAUUGAAAACCCUCUUACCAAGCAACCCAUUUUUUUAAUCAAAUGAUCUACAAUCAUUCUCUUAGUCCAAAGGUUUAUUUUUCUUUGCUUUGUUUCCAAGUUAUCAAAUGAAUGGUUGAGAUUUAUUCUUGAAAUCCAAUUGUUAAUCUUGGUUUGUUUUGUCUUCAAGCUAAAGAAAAUUUUCACCUAUAAAUAGAUGGUUAAACACACACACACACAAAAGGGCUAAGUUUUCAAAAAUACACAACAAAAAUCUUUCUUUCAAAAAUACAAUUUUAUUUUAAAUUGUAUACGGUCAAGUUUUUUUAAAAACACAAAAAUCAUAUCUUGUUUAAAAAAUACAAUACAUGGUAUGUUUUAUUUUUUUAACAUACAUUUUGAAUUUAAUAAUCAUUUUAUUAAAUCCAUGAGGAUUUGGCUAAUAUUUCUAUAACCAAUAAAAUUCUAAUUCAUGAUAAUUAAUAGUCAACAUUCUGGUAUAAAUGUUGGACUUACAAGUAAGCUGAUAUUUAAAUAUCAAAAGUUGACCAGAAAAUUCUCAGAAUUAUCCUGAAUAUUCAUCAAUUUUAAUUGAAAGUAUUUUUUACCAAAACACACGAGUUGUGGAACACUCUUCCGCCUUCUAGGAUAAAUGAACCCUAUCAAGACACUUACAUGGAUCCUAAGCAAUAGAUAGACCACCAAUUAGAAACUCAUCAAAUCAUUUAAAUCACAUUCAGACCAUACAAUGCAGCUUACUUCAUGCAGGGUGCACUAGGGAUGCUAAUAUCUUUCCUAGCCACAAUUAGUUCCUUACCCUUAGAAUCUCUGAUAAAACAAGUACACCGAGUUUUCUAACCUAAACCAAACAGCUAACUCCCACGACCCCAACAACACAUGUCCACUUGCGAUUGGGUUAAGCACAUAAACAAAAGUGAGCAAUGUUAGUUGAGAGCCUACAAUUUUGACUUAUGAGAUCACAUGGUAAGCUUUUAUUGGUGAGAGAAGUUACAGUUUUUUAUUGGUGCAGGUGUUUGAUUGUUUGGAUUUUCCAAGUUUUCUUGAAACCAAUAUAGUCAACUGACAUUAAUUUGAAGGUGAUUGCACUCAUGAAAGUGCAAUAUCAUGUAAAAUAAAACCUGAAAUCUCCAAAAUAGAGAUUCAACCAGUGUGCAGGAGUUCUCAAAGACUCUUAUAUUCCUUUCUUCCCAUAUCAGGUAGACAACAAUGCUAAGGGAGACCCUUUUUAUUCUGGCAACAGCGUUUUUCCCCUUGAGAUUGAGGCCCCGAACAACACUACUAAUGGUGGCCAUACCCCUGCAGAGUCGAAGCCAAGAUUUAACCUUCGGCCACAAGAGGGAUGUCCAAUUGCAAGCAAAGAAAAGGUGAUUAUAGCUUUCCUCAUGAUCUUGAUAGAAGACGCAGCUAGCAGCUAGCAUCAGCAUCAACAAAGUGCAGUCUGUCUCAUGUUCUCAGCCUCCCAAGUAAAGCAAGCCAAAGGAUGAAACCAUGCCUUGGUAAACACCAAGGUUCCCAAACAACCUUAACCUAUGACACCAAGGUUCCUUUAAAUCUAAAAAACUCAUAAGCAUAACCCGAGAAAGGCUCAGAAAUGUUAUCCCAACUUUGCAUCAUGGAGAUCACUUUUGAUUGUCCCCCGCAAUCUGCAAGGAGCUGAUCUCGAAGAGAAAUUAAGGACUUCCAUAGGGGAGAGGAGGUUAUUUGAAGAGGAACCAACCAGAUAGUACUAUCCUGCAAGUAAAAAUAGUGCACUCAUCUAAUCCAAAUCGAGUCAGUUUUUAAAUGAAUAUUCCAUAGCUACUUUGCAAUAAAACAGUUGUUCCUUGCCUUCAUGUCAUAGAGCCCAAGGCAUCCCUUAUUUCUUUAGCAAACAGAUGUGCUUCCAGGCAACUAAGACAGACUUGCUUCUAGCAGUGUUACCAGCCCAUAAGAAGUUCCUGCAAAUGCAUGUAAUUUGGUUGAUGACAAUAUCUGGCAUGGGGAAAAUGUUGAGCCAAAAUUGCACCAUGCCAAAAAGAAUAGAUCUAAUUAACUCCAGACGCCCAGCAUAGGAUAAGUGCUUGCCCAUCCAGCCUUGUAUAGCAGAUUCAAGUUUAUGCAGGAGGGGGGAAAACUGGCUAGCAAGAAGCCUGUGGGGACUGAAGGGAACACCAAGGUAUUUGAAGGGAAAGCUGCCUUUAGAAAAACAAGAAUCUUGAAGGAUACCCUGCUUCAUACUGUCUCCAACUCCUCCAAAAUAUAUGAAAGAUUUCCCUGCAUUAAUGUGUAACCCUGAGGUCUGGCCAAAGACAUGUAACUGCUCUAGAAGAAUCCGAACAGAAGAUUUGUCCCCCUAACAUAACAGAAGAAUGUCAUCUGCAAAAGCAAGUGACAGAUGUUAUGAAAUGCACACUUCGGGUGAUAAUGGAAGCCUGGCUGUUGAGAUGCUAUCUUUAGCAUACGUGAGAGAUAUUCCAUGCAGAUUAGAAACAGAUAGGGAGAGAGAGGAUCACCCUGCUGAACUCCACACCUCCCAGGGAAAAACCCAUAUAGGCUGCCAUUGAUAGCAAUAGAGAAAGAAGAAGUUUCCACACAUAACAUAACUAGAUAAACAAAACGCUAAGGGAAACCCUGUAGAUGAAGAAGCUCUCUAAGAAAGACCCAUUGCACCGAAUCAAAAGCUUUCCUAAAAUCAAUUUUUAUGAGGCACCGGGGAGAGGUUCUCUUCCUGCCAUAAUGCCUAAGAAACUCUUAAGCCAAGUUAAUGUUAUCAAUCAUAUUCCUCCCUCCAAGGAAAGCAUUCUAAGCUGGACCAAUAAUGUCUAGCAGGGCACGACACAAUCUACCGGCUAGAAUCUUGGAUAUCACUUUAUAAAUCACAUUGCAGCAAAAAAAAUUGGCUUAAAAUCAUUGGCUAAGUUGACAUUAGCAGACUUUGGAACCAGAGCAAUAAUGCAAUGAUUAAUCUGUUUGAGGAUUUGACCAGAAGAAAAGAAAUCUUGAACUGUCGCACAAAAAUCAGCACCAACGAUGUCCCAAGAUUUCUUGAAAAAAAGAGAUGAAAAUCCACCAGGAGAAAUAGACGAUGAAGUUCCAAGAAGGUUUUGAUAGUAACGAACAAAUUCAGCUCCAACUUCAUCUAAAGAGGUAGUAAGAGCCCCAUUACUACGCUGGACAGCAGGAAUGAAACUUUUCAUCUGCUUAUGACUCAUCAAAGCAUGUAAAACCCUUGUACCUCUGUCACUUUUCUUAAGAAAGUUACACUUGAGCUUCUAGGCAAAAAACGCUUUCUCAACAGAUUUAAGGUUAAAGAGAUUCAACUUCAUUUGAUUAACUCUGUUCAGGAGAGAGAUGUCAUCUCUAGAAUUGUGUAGGAGGCAUUGAUGAUGCUCUAAAUCAGCCUCAACUCUAACAACUCUCUCUGAAAUGUGACUAAAAUGAAGCUUGUUUAAAGUCUUCAGAGGACUCUUCAAAGACUUGAGUUUCCUGCACAAAAUGAACAUAGGAGUGCCUGCAACUAGGGAUUGCCAUCCUUCAGAGAUUAAACCUGCAUAGUCUGGGUGAUCAACCCACAUAUUAAAGAACUUGAAGGGGCGCCGACCUGGGGAUCUGUUGCUACCAAUCUGAAUGUGACCUCCUGAUUGAUCAAAGAAAGCACCUAGAGGGUGAAAAUGCACAUGGGACGUGAGCUGAAGAUUUCACCAUAAAGGAUUGGCUAGAACACGAUCUAUUUUAGUCCAAAUAAUCCCAUUGGAUCAAGUAUAGUGGCAGCCAGUGUAAUUCAAAUAAGAGAGGCCCAAGUCGGAACAGCAUGCUCUGAAAUCAGAGACUUCAUAAGAUGAGACAGGGUCACCAUUGUGUUUAUCUUUCUGGGAGAGAAUGGAGUUAAAAUCUCCUAAAACAAUCCAGGGACCAGCUGGAGCCCAGGACUUAAGGUUGUCCCAAAGAGAUCUGCGAGCAAUAAUAGUAUUGAAACCAUAAACAAUACAUUUUGCUAAUUGGUAUAUAGGUUACUGUAACUUCUUAGAUGUUGUUGGACCAUAGCUGUUAAAGAAGCUUUGUAAAUAGUAGGAUGCAAGUAAUUUGUUUAGAGUCCAUGCAACCUUUUUAGUUGGUAAAUUAAUGGUUUCAAGAAUUUUCAUAGUGAUGUCCUAAGGUAUUUUGCUAACUAAAACUUGACGAUGUGCAGAUCUAUUAUCUUAAAAAACAUGAUACAAAGUAAAGCUAUUACUCCACUAUCUCACAUAUCAAAUUAAUGCAUGUUUUCUCAUAAGGAAAAAAUCAAAGUCGUCAAAGUUAUUGGAUGAUUCAUAUGCAUACACGUGGUAGAGCGUGGACAAUGGAAUUAGUAAGUGUUAAAGUGUAAUUUGUAAUUUUUAGUAUUAUUAAUUUUAGUUUUAAUGAGUAAAAGUUCUCUUGGUUUUCCCUAGAUUGUGAAAGUUCAUGUGCUCCUAGAUUUCAUUAAAUUAGUUCGUGUUAUAUAGUCUUUCUCUAUUAUGUUCUUGUAACCUGCAGAAUAAAAAGAAUAAUAAGAAAAUAUUUAUGGUAUUAAGUUGCAGCUUUAUUAAUUAUCAUAUUCAAAUCUUUAUCUUCUUUAUUUCUACAGUUUGUUUCCAACAGAUUUGGUAUCAGAGCAGGUUUCUUCUUAAUGGCUUCUUCAUUAAGUAUUUCUACUUUCUCCUAUACCGCAACGCAAAUUCCUAUCUUCGAUGGAGAGCAUUAUGAAUACUGAAGUUCUCAAAUGGAGACUGUCUUCAUUUCAGAAGAUUUAUGGACAUUAGUUGAUGAGGGGUUUAAAGAACCACCCUAGACAGGAUCUUCUACUUCUUGGACAGAAAAAAAAUACAAAGGAAUAUAAGCAGAAUGUGCAAAGAAAUGCAACUGCCUUUAGAAUAAUUUAGCGAGUAAGCAAAUCAAUUUAUCUCGGAAUUUUCUCUAUUAAAAAGGCAAGAAAAGCAUGGGAGAUUUUAAAAAAUGAAUUCUAGGAUUCUCAUAAAGCUAUCUCCAUUCGACUAUAGAAUCUGUGGAUAGAAUUUAAAAAUCGUACAAUGAAGGAUAUUGAGUUAAUUAAAGAUUUCUCUUCAAGAACCACUGAAAUCAUCAAUCAAAUCAAAAGUUGUGGAGACAAUGUUUUUUAUAAAAGAGUUGUAGAGAAGAUUCUUAGAAGUUUGAUACAAAAAUUUGAGCAUAUAGUUGUUGUUAUUGAAGAAACAAAAGAUCUGUCAAGGCUUACAAUUCAUGAAUUGAUGGGAUCUCUUGAAGCAUAUGAACAAAGAGUAAACUAGUAUAGCAAGCAACCAAUGGAGCAGGCAUUUCAGAUUAAAGCAAAUUUUUCUGAUAGGAAGGCAACAAGAUUUCAUUAAGAUCAAAGAGGAGGAAGAUCAUUUUUUAGAAAAGAAACAUAUGAAAGAGCAAGUGAAAGUUAGAAUUAUAGCAAAGAUAGAGGUAGAAACAAAGGAAGUGGAAGAAUAGACUUUCAGCUAAGAGGAAGCAGCAAUUUAUAUUGCACUAUUUACAAAAGAACUAAUCAUAAAACUUGAGAUUAUUUCUUUACAUGUACCAGAUGUAAAAAUUCCUCACAUUCUGACAAAAAUUGUUGGCAUAAAGAAAAAGGAAGAUGGCAAUGGAGAGAACAUUGCAGCACACUUUUCAAAGAAAGAAGAUCAAUUAUUCUAUUCUUACAUGAAUGUAGAACACAAAGGAGAAGAAGUUUAGUAUCUUGAUAGUGGUUAUAAUCAUCAUAUCACUGGUAAUCGCUCAAACUUUGAAACUCUUGAUAAAGCUUAUUCUUCUCAUGUUGAACUUGGUGACAGUAAGAGGAUGGAAAUCAAAAGAAGAGGUGAUGUUACAAUCCACUCCAAUAAAGGUAAUAAAAAAACAUAUUCAUGAUGUGUUUAGCAUUGGUCAGAAUUUGUUGAGUGUAGGACAAAUGAUGAGAAAAGGUUAUAAGUUGAUUUUUUAAUGAAGAAUAAUAUGAGAUUUAUAAUAAGAAAACAAAUUGGAGAAUAACUUGUCAAGAUGAGUUCUAAUAAUGUUUUUCCUCUUAACAUGAAAUCACUUCAUAAUGUUGUUAUUAGAAGUGAACAUGUUAAUGAAUCUCAUCUUUGGCAUUUCAGAUAUAGGCAUCUGAAUUAUAAUGGCUUGCAACAGUUAAAGCAAAAGAAUAUGGUUUCUGGUCUUCCUUCCAUCCAGAACCAAACUGGAAUCUGUGAAGGAUGUGUGUAUGAAAAAAUGCAUUGUUUUUCAUUUACAAAGACAACCUGGAGAACCAAUACACCUCUUGAAUUAAUCCAUGCAGAUAUUUGUGGCCCUAUUCGAACUCCAUCUAUAAGUAACAAUAGAUAUUUCUUACUCUUUGUUGAUGAUUAUUCUAGAAUGAUAUGGAUUUAUUUGCUUGAUAAACAAUCAGAAGCAUUCUCUAUUUUGUUUUUCAAUUCAAAACUUUUGUAAAAAAGCAAAGUGGGUGCCAGAUGAAGACUCUAAGGAUAGAUCAUGGAAAAGAGUUUAUUUACAAGCUUUUUCUUGAUUAUUGCAAAAAGAAUGGUAUUCAAAGGCAACUUAUUAUUCGGCAUACUCCUCAGUAGCAUAAAGUUGCAGAAAGGAAGAAUAGAAUUAUUAAAGAAAUAGCAAGAAGAAUUUUAUAAGGGAAAGGACUUCCUAAAAAGUUUUGGGUUGAAGCUAUCAAUACUGCAGCUUAUAUUCUCAAUAGAUCUCCAACAAAGGCAGUCCAAAAUCAAACUCUAUUUGAAACAUGGUAUAAGCGAAAGCCUGAUGUUAGUCAUCUUAAAGUAUUUAACAGUAUUGCUUAUGCUCUUAUUCCUUCUCAAAGCAGAGAUAAGUUUGAUGAGAAAAGGGAAAAACUUAUCUUUAUUAGCUAUAAUGAUGAAUCAAAAGGCUUUCAACUUUUCAAUCCUAAAAAGGAUUAGUUACUUUUUUCCAAAGAUAUUAUUUUUAUGAAUCUCCAGCUUGGAAAUGGGAAGAUAUAGUCAAUCCAGAAUCAGCAACACUGGAGUUACUUGAAGCUCUAAAGCAGCCUAAUGUUUCCAAUUCUUCUUCUCAAAAUGGAACUUGUUCAAAUUCUCACAAUGAAGGAAACUCAUCAAGUUCUAAUGAAGAAUCAUACUCAUAAUCUCCUCCAAGGAGAUUUCGACCAUUAAUUGACAUUUACAACUCUUGUCAUAUUGCUUUCUUUUCAGGUGAACCUUGGAAUUUUAAAGAAGCAGUAAAAAUGAAAGAACAUAGGAAAGCUAUGAAUGAGGAGAUAAUAAGUAUUGAAAAGAAUCAAACAUGGAAGUUAGUUGAUUUUCCAAAAGAAAACAAGGCAGUGGGUUUAAAAUGGGUGUUCAAGAUCAAAUACAAUGAGGAUGGCAGUAUUCAGAAGCAUAAGGCUAGAAUUGUUGCUAAAGGCUACUUACAACAACCUGGAGUUGAUUUUACAGAAACCUUUGCGCCUAUUGCAAGAAUGGAAACUAUCAUAAUAGUUCUUACUUAAUCUACACAACUUUAAUUACAGGUUUUUCAACUUGACAUUAAGUCAGCAUUUCUUAAUGGAGAAUUGUAAGAAGAAGUCUAUGUUGAGCAAACCCCCGGAUAUGAAUAAAAAGGGAAAGAAGAAAAAGUUUACAGACUUUGUAAAGCUCUUUAUGGAUUAAAACAGGCACCAAGAGCAUGGAACAAUAAAAUUGAUCUCUAUUUUCAUCAAAAUGAAUUUGAAAGAAGUAAAUUUGAACCAUCACUCUAUAUGAAGAAAAAAGGAGUAGACUUUCAAAUGGUCUAUCUUUAUGUUGAUGAUCUAAUAUAUACAAAAACAAGUAAAGAUAUGGUUGCAAAAUUCAAGGAUGCUAUGAUGAAAGAAUUCAAAAUGUGAGACCUUGGAUUGAUGAGAUAUUUUAUUGGCAUUCAAAUGAAGCAAUCUCCAGGGAAAAAUUUUAUUUCUCAAGAAAAGUAUGUUGCAGAUCUUUUCAAGAAAUUUGACUUGUCAAAAUGUAAACUAGUAACAUCUCCAAUACAGCAAAUGAGAAGUUACAAUAGAAUGAUGGUGCUGCUAAAGCGGAUUCAAUGAUUUUUUUGAAAUCUUGUUGGAUCUUUAAUUUAUCUCACAAAUUCAAGACCUAAUAUAUUAUUCCCAGUAAGUAUUAUUUCUAGAUUUAUGGAGGAUCCUAGCCGACUUCAUUGUGCAGCAGCAAAAAGAAUCUUGCGAUAUCUUUAAGGAACAAAGGAUCAUGGAAUCAUGUUCAAGAAACAAGAAGAUAACAGGUUGAUUGGUUAUUCUAACAAUGACUAGGCUGGAAGCUGUGAUGAUAGGAAGAGUACAUCUUGUUAUGUAUUUUUUCUAGGAACAAAUAUAAUUUCAUAGCAUUUAAGGAAGAAAAAUUCUAUAGUUUUAUCUUUUGCAGAGGAAGAAUACAUUGCUGCAAAUGAAGCAGUAUAUCGAUCAGUGUGGUUGAGGAGAAUUUUUUGAUUUACAGUAAGAAGUUCUUGGUCUUACUAUUAUAUUAUGUGAUAACAUGUUAGCAAUUACAAUGAUCAAGAAUCCAAUUUUUCAUGCACGAUCAAAGCAUAUAGAGUUAAGGCAUCAUUUUAUCAAAGACAUGGUGAGCAAGAAAGCGAUGCAACUGGAGUUUAUCAAUACAAAUGAUCAACCUUCAAACGUUCUCACAAAAGCUAUUCUAGUUGAAAAAUCUUUUUCUUCUCUAUUUCCAACGGUAAGAACUAAACAAAGAUGAUCUUGAAAGUAAAAGGUCAAUAAUAUUACAAAUAAAAGUAAAGGGGUAAAUUAGUAAAAAGUCAAGAAUAAAAAGACUAAAUAAAAGAAGUCUUAAUUGAAAACUAACUCAAAUAAGAAGUUGUUUAUAUUCCCUACUUAGUGUUUUAAUUUAUUUUUAACCUCUUUUCUAGCAUAUUCUCUAACAAAAAUAUUUUAGUGAGUAAAAUGAAAGGGACAAUAAGAAUGAGGGACCCAAAUAUAGUUUAGAAGAUUAUGAGAGAUAUUAAAAGGAUUUAAAAUUUAAAUUAAAAACAUUUAAAAUUGAAAUUAAAAAAUAAAGGAAUUUAAAGUUUAGAAUUAACAUUAAUGGAAUUAAAAAAAUUAGAAUUGAAAUUAAAAAAAAUUAAACUCAUAUUAAAAAUGAAAAAAAUAAAAUCUAAAAAGAUUUUUAAAUUCAAUUAUAGGAUUUUUAAAUUUAAGGAGGAGCAUUAUAAAUAGACGAGGAGAGAAACAAGAAGAAGAAUUUUUUUCAUGGAAAGAAAUAAAAAAAUCAAAAGAGAAACAAUUAUGAGAGAAAGUGAAAGAAAAGAAGAAAAAAAUAGGACAAAAAUAAAAAAAAAUUAGGGAGAUAUAAAAAAAAAAAAGAUUUUAACAAAAACAAAAAGACAAAAGACUCUCCUUCUUUACUGAAACCAAACCUUAGCCGCCUACACCAUAGCCUCCCAUUUUUCUAAGACUGCUGAAAUCUGACAACUUAAUCAUAACCUCAGAACUUGAAAUCAACUGUAGUCUUUAUCUCUCUUGACUUUCCACGUUAUAACCCAGUCUAACCUCUCCCAACCACGCAAUCUUUAUUUUGAUAAUGUUUGGAAAAAUAGUUAAAAUCAUGUUUUUUAAAAGUUAUAUAAAAUAUUAUUUAAAAUUAAAUUUUUUAUGUGUUUAGAUUAUUUUGAUGUGUUAAUGUCAAAAAAAUUAAAAAAUAUAUUAUUUUAAUGCAUUUUCGAAUGAAAAUUAAAAAAAUAUUUUGAAUUGCAACCACUAUUAUACUUUCAAACGCACAUUUCCUCGAAACCAUAAGCCCACGACCAAAACCAUUGUCUCCUCUCACUCGAAAUCGAACACAACAGCCUCCUUUAUUUCCCUUAUUAUAACAUAUACUAAAAUGUCUAUGACGAACAUUGUACUUUUUUAUUUUUACUCAAUUUGUUUUUUAAUUACAUCAUUGUAAGCCCAAAUUGAUGACUAAUUUGUCCAAUUUUGUUAAAGAUUGGAAAUAUUCAAUGAUAGGGUAGUAGAGUGAAAACAAUGGAGAAAUAUAAUGGUCAAUCUAAUAUUCUUAGGAAAAGUUCAUUUUGGUCCAAAGAUUUUUUUAUUGUUUUUUUAAUUACAUCAUUUUCAAGCCUAAUUGCAUGGAAUAUGGCUCAAAAUUAUGGUAAAUUUAUAAAAUUAAAAGUUUAAAGAUAAAAAAGUAAAAGGCGAAUAAAAUUGAUGGCUACCCACAAAUGUUCGCUACAUUUUUUUGGUCUUAAAUUUUAUUUAUUUUUUAUUUUUUGGUCUGUGUAUGAGAGAGAAACAAAGACUGUUAAAAAUAGCAUUAGAAAGAGAAAAUGUUUGGUUGUCAUAAUUUUGGCAACCAAAAUGAUCAAGUUUUAUGUCAAGAUGAUCCAUUUGACGAGGGAAGUUUGUUGGUGGUGGUUUUGGAUCCUCAUAUUAUCGAAAAAAAUAUAUCCGGCUUUAGGAAAAUUUGUGCUAUCAAUUUGAUUUUUCAAUUUUUAAUUUAUUUCUUACUAUUAAAGGGCACAUGAGGGUUUAUUAAGGUUUGUAGGGUUUUCCUUGGAUAUUUUGAGGUGAAACUUUGUUGAAAAUUGGGUUUUUUUAGUUCAAAAAUGCAAAAAUUAUGUCUUAUUAGUCACAAUAGAAGUCGAGUCAUCCAUUUUAUUUUUAUUUUUUAAAAAAAGUUGGAUGACAUGUUGUACUCCGCCUUAAAGAAAAAAAAAGAAUUAAGGUGCGCUUGAGCCUGGAUUUCAGGCCCAUAAGAGUCUAGCCUUCUCCUUUUAGACCCUAUCAUGAACCUGAGCCCCUUCUUCUUCUUCUUCUCACUAAAAAAACAUGCUAAUUCAUUUACUUUGAUAUGAUUUUUCAUAAUAUUAUAAUUUUUUUUUCUGAGUUUUAACAAUUUAUUUUUUUAAUUAUUAUGUAUAUGAUAUGACAAUAAUAAAUUGCUAAUGAAAAUUCAAUUAAAAUCAUAUUUUAAAAUUCUAUUUUUUUUCAUAUAUUAAAAAAAAUUCACGGGUUUGUUUGGUCAUCUUGAAUGUUUUUCUUAAAUCAAAAUUGAAUUAUUAUUGUCGUUAAGGUUUUUUUUAGAUCAACGUGCUUGAGCUUCUUCUUCUUUUUUUGUUAUCUAUACUUUUUAUUUCUUUGAUUUUAUUGUUUGUGUUAAAAUAAAGUUUUGGUUCGAUCUGGAACAUAGCACAGGGUAGUAAUCUAAUGCAAGCUAAACAAUAUACCCACCAAAGCAACAACCCUCCACCAAGCUUGACAAGUCCUCCUUCUCUCCCAGGCGUUGUGCCUUGUGCUCCUUCAAAAAUAGUGCAUGGUAUUGAUGAUUCUAUGCAGGAUGUGGUUGUUGCUGCAAGAUGAGAGCCCCUUAGAGGCAGGAAGCAAUAUAUGACUCGUAGCAUGGUUGCUGCUACUGCAAAAGUUGGUCAGCAUGCAAAGACUGAUGUUGUUGUUCUAUGUGAAGGCAGUGGUUCUGCAAAGGUUCGGCCUAUGGCAGGAAAUAGGCUUCAGGGCAAGCAUGAGGGUUCAGUUUCCCCUUCUUCUUCCUUAUGACUCCAUUUGGAUUUUGAUGUUAUUUUAUGUAGUCCUGUUUUGGUUUUACAGCAUCUCUGUAUGUGGAUUUAAUACUAUUUCAAGGGAGCAUGUUCCCUUUGUUACUUAAUGUUUAUUGUACAUUUGAACUUGCUAGUCUCCAGCUUUGUUUCUCUCUAGUUGUUGUUACAUGCAGCGUUGUGCAUGUAAGUUUGUUGUGAUGUCGUCGUCUAUUGGGUCGUUCCCAGCAAUGCUCAUCCUACUGUGUGAUCUAUUGCACUGGAUAGUUGUGCUUGCCAUGGCCUAGGUGGAAGCUUGCUCUGAUGUUGAGUGUUGGUAGCUCCUGUUUAUUCUAGGUUUUCUGGUUUGCUAGAGUAGCACCCUCUCUGGCUUUGUUGCUCCUUUUAUUUCUUGGUCGGCUGAACCUCUGUUGGCUUUUGCUGAUCUAUUAUAUGUUGUUUUGCUGCUAUUUAUUGCUGCUUGAAAACUUUACAGAAACUUUAAAGAAGAAUGCUUGAAUACUGUUGUAUUUUCGUUGCUUAAUAUGUGCAUGUACAGAGGGUUUAAAUAAAGGAUAAUGCUAACUGUUGUCCUACAUAUGUGCAUGUAUAUCUGAUGAGUUCAAAAUUUAAACAGUAGAUACAAUCUUGUUUGAUUUCAAAACUUUGAAUAUUGGAUAGCUAAGCUCCUGCAAAUUUGGUGCUUGUUGCAGCAUGUUCAUUCUCUUUGACUUGUUCUUGUACACUGCUUAUGUAGUGCAAGUUCGUCUGCUGCCUUUAUGUAACUGCUACUAGGUUUUCCCUGCUGCUAGAGUGGCUGUUGUUGCUGCUAUCUGCGGCCUCUUCUUGUAGAUAGUUGGAACUCUAUAGUGCUUGUUUGCAGGUUAUUUCCUGCUGCUGGGUUUUUGGUUUGCUGGAGUUGGGCUCCCCUCCUCUGGCUAUGUGUUUUUGUUGUUCACCAUGGAUGAUUGCUUUUCAGUGGAGAAGCCUUAUUGUUGUCUGCUGGCAUGCGUCUAGUUAUGGCCAUGUGGUAAAGUUUGUGCUGCUAAAUUGUUUUACUGCUUUCUACAGCCCUGUCUAUGUACUUGAUUCUUAGGCUAUGUAAUAUUUUGCCUAAGGGAGCCUGUUCUCCUAGUCUCUAUAUGUACAUGCCUGUAUAUUUAGAUUUGUUGGUUUCUAGCUUAACUUAGUUUCGUUUUGAUCUAUAAAAUUUCCAUUUGAUAAAAAAAAGAGUCCUCCUUCUCUCACUCUCACUAACAGACCCAAAUUCCUUCCCCAAAUCCAAUCGAUAAUCGACCCAAAGACAAGCCAGAAAUAGUUCCUAAAUUCCUUCCCAAAAUCCAACCAAUAUGCACGUGGAGUACAUGUUCUGACAUCCUAAGUGCUUGACAACACACCAGUGAAAGAUUCCCACAUGCCAACAUUUUGGUAUAUUGUUUUCAACAAUUUCUAGUCCAUGAUAGAGGUUCUUAAAGGUUUUUUUUUUAUCCCUAAGAAUUUUUUCUUGUGUAAGAAUGAUUUAUUUUUUUUGUAUAGGCUGUUUAAUUUUUGCAAAUGUGCUUGAUUCGUGUGUAUGGAUUUGUAUGGACUAUUUAGCUGGAUUGUUUAACUUUCAUGGAUAUGCUUGAUUUUUGUGUAUGGAUGUGUUUAAAUUUUUGUGUGGAUGCAUUUUAUGUAUGGAUGUGAGCUUUAAUUCAAGAAAAAAAAAACUAUGCUUAACAAAUUUUCUAAAAAAAAAGAACAAUAUGAAUAUUUUCGCAUGAGUAUUUUUUUUAUAUAAAAAAAAAUUGUUUCUUGUUUUUUUAGUUAUUUGUUAAAAAUCAAUAAAUAAAAUAUUUCUUGAUUUUCUAUGUUCAUUUUUUGUAUAUACUUUCUUUCAAAAAUUAAAUAUGAUUGAGGUGCUAUAUUUUCAAAGUAAAUUGUUUUUUUAAUAUGAAUUUGGAUAUGAGUUGAAGGGUAGCUUGGAAAUACUAUAUUGAUUUACUACUCCAUUAUAUAGUAAACCACUGUCCUACUAAUAGAUUCAACAACAUUUAUAUAUAUAUAUAUAUAUAUAUAUAUAUAUAUAUAUAUAUAUAUAUUGUUCUCGUCUUUGUUUGCAAAUGUGCUUCUUUUUCUUUCUUUUCAUCAAUAUUUGAGAAUCUUGUUUAGAAACAUCUAGGUGUUAGGAUAUAUUAAUUUGUUUGUUGUGAGUAGGUUUUGGAUGAAUCAAUGUGAUCCCAUCAAAACUCAUUGAGAAUGAGUGAUGACCUUUGGUCUCAUUUUGAAACUAGCCAAAGAAAAUGAAUCAAAGCCCAACUAAAUAUUCAUCAUCCUCACGGGUCUAAUGCUCGCAUUCUAAAAAUAAAGAUUGAGUCUUGUUGUCUGUUCCAAAUUCUAAAUCACUGCCUUAGGUUUUAGUCGCCCUUUACCAUAUAUGUGUGUGUGUGUAAGAGACAACACUUUUUAUAUAUAUAAAAAAGUGUAUAUGUAACAUGUAAAUAUUAUUGUGGUCUUUGUUUCCAAAUAUGCUUCUUUUUCUUUCCUUUCACCAAUGUUUGAGAAUGCUUGUUUAGAAAUAUCUAGGUGUUAGGAUAUAUUAACUUGUUCAUUGUAAGUAGGUUUGGGAUGAAUCAAUGUGAUCCUAACAAGGUUUAUUGAUGGUGAAUGAUGGCCUUCGGUCUCAUUUUGAAACUACCCAAAGAAAAUGAGUCAAAGUCCAACUAAACAUUCAUUAUCCUUUUAGGUCGUACACCUACAUUCUAAAAUAAAGAAUUAAGCUUUGUUGUCGGUUCCGAUCCCAAAUCACUACUUUAGGUUUUAGUCGUCAUUUACCACAUAUAUAUAUAUAUAUAUAUAUAUAUAUAUAUAUAUAUAUAUAUAUAUAUAUAUAUAUAUAGAAACAUAAAAGGUACUUUUAUCAUAAAAUGCAAACGUUAAGCAUUAUAUAAGUGUUUUGUAUGCUGAAAAUCAAGUAACCAUGGAUUUAUGAAGUAAACUUAUGUUUUGUAUGAUUCAACACAUUAUCUUUGUUGGGAUAAAGAUCAAAUCUGACUUAUUAAGGUAUGACUGACCUUGUGGUGUCAUUCGAUUCAAUUCCAAUAGUACUAGUGUCUUGGGACAGGUUUUUAUUGUGUCACACUUCUCAAAUUUGAUUUUCAUCUUUUUUAGGGAAGUAUCAUUUUUAUUAGGGUUACUUGACCACGUAAUAAAGAGAUUUGCAUCAAUACUUUCAUCAUAAAAUCCAAACAUGAAGUAGUUUAUCUUUAAGAUGUCUUGGGGUAAUUUUUAUUUUUAUUUUUUUAUAUAUAAUUAGCCUUUAUCUAAUAAUCUCUGAAUGACUAGUUAGAGUUUUUAAUUAUCAUAAAAUUAGAUGGCAUUUCCUUUUAUUAUUUUUUCCCUUUAACUCACCUAAAUGUCCCAUGCCACACUUCACAACAGUGAAAAUCAACAGAGUGACUUGUUUAAGCUAGUAAUGCAUCAUAUUGACCAAUGAUUCACACAAUAUACACAACAAUAUAUAUAGCAUACAAUAUCAAGCAGCCAUUAAAUUAGAUACACUGAUAGACAUUAUUUCUAGUUUCACUCCAAAUGCAUAGCUAACGAAAAGAAAAGAAAAGAACAUUGGCCAUAUCGAUAUAUGUAGAUGAUAGAUAGAUAGUCAAUGCCAGAGAGCUAAAGCUUUUGGUCAACUAGGACCGAUGAUGCUACAAUCUUUAAGCUGCUCCUGUCAUUUGUGUGCAAGUGUGAUCCAACACUACUGUUGCUUGCACUCAGGAGGGUGCUCCUUUCUGAAUUUGUGCCCCUCCAAUCUUCUGCAAUUAAUAAAACCAAAUCAGAUUUUCUCGGAACUUUGUACACAGAACAACAGAUAGCAUAAAAAACUAAAAUAAUGAAAUAUCAGUUGCAACUUGCCUUGUGUCCAUCGGAUGACUGAAAGAAUAUUGCAAAGAAAGAAACAGUGGAAGAAUAUGUUAGCAUCUUCAAAAAUAUGGAAGUCUAAUUUAUCAAAUUGAUGCACUUUACCUUCUUCCAGACCUGUUUUUCUUCCUUUUCCUCCUCAUCCUCGUCUUCAACAUCCUUCUUUAGACCCCGUUUUCUUUCCUUUUCCUCAUCCCCGUCCUCAUCAUUGUCCUCUUUGAUGUCCUUCUUCACACCUUGUUUUCUUUUCUCUUCUUGCUCAGCCUCCUUGUUGCUUGCAUUGUCCUCCUCAUCCCCAUCAUCAUUCUCCUCAUCUCCAGCCUCAUCAUCAUCAUCCUUCUUCAAGUCCCAUUUUCUUUCCUCAUCCUCAUCCUCAUCAUGGUCCUUUUUGAUGUCCUUCUUCACACCUUGUUUUCUUUUCUCUUCUUGCUCAGCCUCCUUGUCGCUUUCAUUGUCCUCCUCAUCCCCAUCAUCAUUCUCCUCAUCUCCAGCCUCAUCAUCAUCAUCAUCAUCCUUCUUCAAGCCCCAUUUUCUUUCCUUUUCCUCAUCCUCAUCCUCAUCAUAGUCCUUUUUGAUGUCCUUCUUCACACCUUGUUUUCUUUUCUCUUCUUGCUCAACCUCCUUGUCGCUUUCAUUGUCCUCCUCAUCCCCAUCAUCAUCCUCAUCAUCCUCAUCAUCAUCAUCAUCAUUGCCGUCAUAUUCUAUACCAUCUAACUCGUCUUCCUCGAUAGCCUCUCCAGUAAACCAUGACACAGCAUGUGGAAUGAUUUUGUCCCGAAUAAUAAUACUAUCAUCCACAAAAACAAGUCCAUAUCAGAGAAAAGGAGAGAGAGAUGCACAGAAUAGACCCAAUGAAGUUCACAUAAAGAAUGUGGGACUUACCCUAAAUUGUAGCCUUGUUUUAGCCGGUCCUGAAGUUCAUCAUACUGUGAACACAAGAGACUACGACAUCAACUAACAUAUUAACAGUUACAUUGCUUUCCUUGUACAUAACGAAGCGGAACUUACAUCAUCAUCAUCUAGGUCAUCCUCAUUCUCAGGGAUCUGAGGAGGAUUAAAGAAUGUGAAGAAACUUUCACAGUUCUUAAUUGUCAUGGUGGUUUUGGUCUUCUUUGACACCAUUCUUUGUUUCCUCUUCACAACCUUCGUCGUCAAGCAUUUCUCAGGAUACCAUUCAAUUUCCGACCUAAAAAAUCAGAUGAAACAUUAUAAGAAGGAAAAUUAGAAAGGAAGAGAAUAAAAACUCUCAGCACAACAACAUUAAUAUAAUUAACUACCCAAUUGCUUGACUCAAAAUAGGAUCAGAUUCAUCAAUUAUGUGACAAGUCUUUGUCAGGACAGAAUUUUUGAAGUAAGGACAAGGGUUGAAGUAAAACUCCAGCUCGAAACCCUCAGGAUUUUGAAGUCUCGACCACUUGAUAUCUUUUAUAAACUUUAGGGCUCCUUCAUCUUGUCCCUUAAUCUAUUGCAAGAAUCAAUUGAUAAAUCAAAUUACACAGUGAUGAAUCCAAAAGGAAGAAAUAUAUGUGUGCAUAUGUGAGCACGCCUUGCAUACCUCCUCUGCUAGUACUUCAUGAGUUUUCAUUGCAGUGAGCCAGAAUUCAGGCACUCCUUUCUCUGCAUUGAAGAAGUACUAUACUCUUAAGUUCAAUAUAAGGCAUUGCUUUCAAAUACUCCAUGUAUGUUUGCCAAAAACAAGAUAUACUGUUAAAAAUAUACGCUAAUACCUUCUAUAGCUUGAUCCUCUUUUAUGCUAUCUAAUUCAGCAGACAUAACCCCGUCAACUUCUUUUAGACCAUUCACAAUCUCAUAUCUCUGCGCCGAGAGCCCAUCAAAAACUUAAAUUAAUUACAUAAAUACGGAACAAAAAAUUGCAAUGCAUGCUACCUCUGAUUCAACAUUCACGUAACACAUGCAGAAGUAUUAAUGCAAAGACAAUACAUACCUUAGUGUAUAGUGGUUGAUAAAGCUUGUUGUAUUUAGCUUCUAAUGCCUUUCUCUCCUCAAGAAACUGUGCUUCCAGCUCAUCAUGUUGGCUCUGCAGAAGACAUCAAUUCGCGUAUGUAAUUAAGUAUGUCAUGAUCAUCUAUACAUGUAAUAAAACUUAACAAAAAUGUUGAAAACUGGGCUAUAAAAUAACACAAGCUUAUGAAAACAUAAACAGCACAAUGUUUCUUGUAGAAAGUACGUAGAUAAAUACACCAACCUGAAGAUGUCUGAGACACUCCACGUGUUUGCUGACCUUGGGAGACGAUGACAACUUCAUGUUAUAGUUACUCAUACGGGAAUGUUUGGGGGAUGGGAAAAUAAAAUAGCCUAGAAAAGGAGGGAAAGUGAGUUUAGUUUUCUCUUAUGAGGGAAGGAGAUGUCGAUGUGAGCUUACAGGUUUUUAUUUAUAAGUUGAGAAAGUGAUGUGUUUCUUGUUGUCAUGACUUUGGUAUCUAUCUGAUGCUGUUAAGGGGUUCGAGCAUACAGCCCAUUGGAAUCGAUUUCAAGUUUAACUGUCAAGUAAAGCCAGGAAGGAUCAGCUUCAGGAUGAAAUUAAUACCAAUUUUUCAUCUGGGACAAAGCAAAAUUCACUCAUGUCACUUUGGAGUUUAGAAUAGAUUUCCACUUUAAGUAAAGUAUAGAUAGGAUUCUUUUAUCUUGUUUCGUGUUGUGCAUUGUUUCUUUAAGUAAAGUAUAAAUUACUCCUUGUGGUUUUUUGCAAUGAAUUUGUCCAUCAAUUAUUAAUUAUGGUAAAUUCCUUGUUCAGAAACUAUCAAUAGUCUAGUUUAGGGACUCCGCAGUUUUUUUCCGACAGACUUGUAUUAACACAGAAAAAAGACCACAAGCUGGUGAUGAUGACAUACAAGAAAACUCGAGAUCUCAGGUACAAGCCUCUCCUUCGUAACCAGGAAAAAAACACACGAGUUUGCUCAGGAUUGCACUUUUCCUUUCAGUGCUUCAAUCACUGCUGAAAAAUCACUAUCGCUAAGCCCGUGACUUUUUGCUACCUUGUAUAGUUCAUUUGCAGCUGCUGCAAUUGGAGUGGGUUGGGAAACAGAUUCUGCUAAUCCCAGGGCAAGUCUCAUGUCCUGAAACCAUUGA